AGCCCCGUCUCUCGCGCCA
This 19-nucleotide transfer RNA is filed under the name Bradyrhizobium phage ppBjS10J-1. Its description in RNAcentral is "partial tRNA-Asp". The record is from RNAcentral. Lineage: Duplodnaviria; Heunggongvirae; Uroviricota; Caudoviricetes.